GUGGCUGUAGCUCAGCUGGUUAGAGUGCCAGAUUGUGAUUCUGGAUGUCGUGGGUUCGAGUCCCAUCAGCCACCCCU
Molecule: transfer RNA, 77 nt
Filed under: Planctomycetaceae bacterium
Lineage: Bacteria; Pseudomonadati; Planctomycetota; Planctomycetia; Planctomycetales; Planctomycetaceae
Description: tRNA-His
Rfam family: tRNA
About the family: Transfer RNA (tRNA) molecules are approximately 80 nucleotides in length. Their secondary structure includes four short double-helical elements and three loops (D, anti-codon, and T loops).
Source: RNAcentral